UUAUAGUUUUCAUAACUUGCUGAGAAAUACGACUACAAUACCCGAUAGCUCCUCGCAACUCCUUCCUUCUUGCGCAAGAGUCAAUUUUCUGUGCUUAUUUCUUUUCUCUCUUCAGGGCUAUGUGGAUGGUAUACCUCUCUCAAGUGUUCACGGGGGUAGGCAUGGCCGCUCAAUUUGUUUGUGGUUAUUGUCACGCACUACAACACGCUGUGAUACGAGGAUAUCCGAAUGAUAUAAAAACAACGUCUUUCAUUUCCACCGUCGUUAUCACAAGUCUUGUGCUCGGAGCUACAAUGACGCCUCCGAUUGCUGGAUACCUUGUCGAAAGGUUUGGAUAUAGGAGUGGGUCUAUGUUCAUGUUCGGACUUCUUGUACUAUGGACCCCAGUUACAUUCAUUCAGUGGAUGGCAUCGUCCUGCAGCAGGCGACGCAAGCAGCAGUGUGGUAUUACAACGGAUUCUCGCACCUGUUGACCUCUAUUUUAUAGUGGUUCCAACGCAAAUUCUACCGGUAUGGUCCGUUGUACAACGCCAGCCAUGCAACGCGCCCCCACGUACAAACAACUCAUGUGUAUUUUGAGCUAGAACAAUAAGGCGCCCCGAGGAACUUGAUUUUUUAAAGCGAAGCUUCCUUCACCUACUAUUCCAUGGUUUCCCCUAGGUCGGUCGCUGGUCGGGUUCUCGCCGGAUAAAUUGGCAUUAACUUAGAUUCGCAUAUACUUUUAACAAAUGAAGCGCGUGCGGCACAGGGAGACAAGCCUGUGCCUUUUAUUAGCGUUCAGUUUCUUCUCUCUCGGGCAUUUGUGCAUGUGUGCUAGAUCUAACCCUGGGGGUGUUAGCCAGCGCCACUCACGGCCAAUGCGGCGGAUGUGAAGCAUCCUUUUAACCACAUGCAUCACGUAGUACGUAAGUUUCGGAGGGGACCAUAAACCCUCCUACAUUCCCUCAUGGAAUCGAAACUGUAUAAUUGAAAGCUCUUGCUAUGCAACGAGCUAAAAGAAUAAGGGUAUUUUUCGAGAAAUCAUAUAGGAAUCGAAUUAUAUAGAGGAAAUCAUUUGUUAUGCUUCUUUAGAGUAACAACGGAACUAGCAGGACCUUUCGUUACGGUUGGUUACUUUCUGUUGGCAAAGUGAUACUGACAGCUUGCGCUACUACAUCCAUAGAAAAAGGUUUACAAAAUUUUCAGUUUUAUUACUGUUUCACUGGAGAAAGAUAUGGUCCCAUCGGAACAGCGUUGCACUA
Dermacentor silvarum is the source of this 1241-nucleotide long non-coding RNA. RefSeq lists it as uncharacterized. The transcript is spliced from 4 exons. The record is from RefSeq and is a predicted model, not a curated record. Lineage: Eukaryota; Metazoa; Arthropoda; Arachnida; Ixodida; Ixodidae.